RNAcentral lists this transfer RNA (73 nucleotides) under Geminocystis sp. NIES-3708. It matches the Rfam family "tRNA". Rfam says of the family: Transfer RNA (tRNA) molecules are approximately 80 nucleotides in length. Their secondary structure includes four short double-helical elements and three loops (D, anti-codon, and T loops). Lineage: Bacteria; Bacillati; Cyanobacteriota; Cyanophyceae; Chroococcales; Geminocystaceae. The record is from Rfam by way of RNAcentral. RNAcentral also lists the same sequence under 2 other names.
ACGUCCUUAGUUCAGUUGGUAGAACGUCGGUCUCCAAAACCGAAUGUCAGGGGUUCAAGUCCUCUAGGGCGUG